CCUACGGGAGGCAGCAGUGGGGAAUUUUGGACAAUGGGCGAAAGCCUGAUCCAGCAAUGCCGCGUGAGUGAAGAAGGCCUUCGGGUUGUAAAGCUCUUUUGUCAGGGAAGAAACGGUGGGAGCUAAUAUCUCUUGCUAAUGACGGUACCUGAAGAAUAAGCACCGGCUAACUACGUGCCAGCAGCCGCGGUAAUACGUAGGGUGCAAGCGUUAAUCGGAAUUACUGGGCGUAAAGCGUGCGCAGGCGGUUUUGUAAGUCUGAUGUGAAAUCCCCGGGCUCAACCUGGGAAUUGCAUUGGAGACUGCAAGGCUAGAAUCUGGCAGAGGGGGGUAGAAUUCCACGUGUAGCAGUGAAAUGCGUAGAUAUGUGGAGGAACACCGAUGGCGAAGGCAGCCCCCUGGGUCAAGAUUGACGCUCAUGCACGAACGACGGUGGGAGGACGAAACGAGGAGUAGUACUACCUACGGUAGUACCGUACCGACCCGUAACCGACUGUCUACUAGUUGUUCGGUUCGUUACUUGUACGUUGGUACG
RNAcentral lists this ribosomal RNA (535 nucleotides) under uncultured bacterium. RNAcentral's name for it is "bacterial SSU rRNA". It matches the Rfam family "Bacterial small subunit ribosomal RNA", at positions 338 to 853 of the family's 1533-position model. The record is from RNAcentral.